UUUUUAAAUUCAGACUUAAAAUAGUGGAUAUCUAAUCCAUAGUCUCGUUUGUGAUUAAUUUACUGUUUUUAAUUUAUGUUAUCGUUUCUUAUCUUAAAUUCAAUGUACAAUGUUGUUGUAAUUUAAAAGUCCAUGUUUAAUCUCUUAAAUUUACAAGAUGGUUCAUUAUGUAACUAACGCACUGUGUAGGGUUUCACGGAUUAAUUAGUGAAUCUUUCCGUUACAAGUUUUGCAUAAGCAGAAAAGGGAAAGACAAAUUGAAUUUAGAGAUUUUUAUUAAAAGUUUGGACAACAAAAUUGCAUCAAAAACAAGUUUAUUACAACAAACUUUCUCAAAACAUUAGACAUGAAAAUUACAUCAAAUCUAAUUAACAAUGAGAACCGUAAAUAGAAUCUUCUCUUAUGGGCUCCUCUUGUCAAUGUUUGCCCUCUUAAUGGAGAAGAACAAAACUCCUUUGGAUACUGCAGGUUGCACCUAAAAGGCCAAACUUCUAUUUUCAGUCACCGACACUUAGCUACUUCCAGUCAUGGAUUUUUUUCUACUGCCUACAAGUUUGCGGGUGUCGCGGUGCGAAAAAUAUCCUCAAGUGUGAACACUUGAAAAAUAACAGAGUCGCCACCGAAUUUUAUUUCUCCCAAGGAAGGGAAAGGAAAAUAUCGAGAAAACCUUGAGGGGUGAGAAAUGGAUUCGGGAGUUGGUUAUGCGAGGGGAAGGUAUUAGCACCUCUCACAUCCGUUGUACUCAACGGGAACCUUUUAGAGGGAAAUUGUUUGUUUGCCUUAAUGUGUUUUUUAAUAUUUGCUUAAUUAUUCGUUUCUUGCUUCAUCGAUAGAAAAAGUUUUUUAUUUAUUAUUAUUAUUGGGAUUAUAGAUAUGGGGAAUAAGUUUUGUUUUUUAUUAUUAUGCCCGACAAGAUAUUGAAUCUUGCUCCUACGUAUUCCCAGGUGCAAUGGGAAAUCAGGGUUUCGUAAUUCAGGAUAAAAAAUGUUUGUGGGUUGGUUGUUUUUAGACGUAUGACGUCUAAGUCGCAUUCUCGUAUUUAAAUGUUGCUUGUAUGCUCGCACUUUGGAGGCUUAAGCGUGAUUUGUAUUACGAAGAAUGUCGCAUUCUCGUAUUUAAACGCUGCUUGUAUGCUCGCACGGUGGAGGCUUAAGCGUUGUUUGUGUUACGGAGAAAGGACGAAAACGUAAUCCAUUUUGUGAAAAAGGUUUUACUUUUACUGCGCGCGAGGGNNNNNNNNNNNNNNNNNNNNNNNNNNNNNNNNNNNNNNNNNNNNNNCCAUACGUCAGGGCCUCGUUCUAUCUGGGGAAGAAAGCCAUACGUCAGACUAACCCUUUUUCAUUCUGAUUAUGCUUAAAUUCUUUUAUUUGAUUUAUGAAAGUCAAAAGAGAAGAUGAAGCAGAUGAUGAAGUGUUUUAACGUUUUUUAGCGUCUGAGAAUGAGAAUGAUUCGAGUCACGAACCAUACGUCAGGGCCUGGAAUCAUCCAGGGAAGAAAGCCAUACGUCAGACUAACCCUUUUUCAUUCCAAUUAAGAUUUAAUUUGUUGCGUUUAAGCAAGAUAACCAAGAAACAAACCAAGCAGAUAUAAUAUACAACGAAUAUAUGCAUGGACGAAAGCUUUUGUCAACUGGUCAAUUUUGCUUCAUCAUGAUUGUUUAGAGAAAAGAAUAAGAAUGAGAAUAAUUCGAGUCACGAGCCAUACGUCAGGGCCUCAAAUUAUUCGGGGAAGAAAGCCAUACGUCAGACUAACCCUUUUUCAUUCCAUUUAUUUUAGUUACGGAGUUUUUCAAGUAAAUAAGUGCUUUUGAGAAACAAACUCACAAUGAAAGUAUUAAAUCAAGUAAGUAAUCCAAACGUUACAUAUGAACUUAUUAAAAUAAGCUUGAGAAAUUUUGAUUAAUUAAUCACCUAACUAACAAUCACUUAAUCAAGUGUUUAACCAUUUAAGCACUUAGUGAUUUGAGCACUUUUAUCAAACAACUUAAAUGGUUACUCACUUAAUCAAGUAUUUAAUUAAUCGACUAAUUAAUCAAUAACUCAAAUAAUCAUUUUCAAAUGAUAAGCGCUUAUUUAAAUAAGCACCUAUGUGGAUAAGCUCUUAUUUGAAUAAGCACUUAUAUGACUAAGCACUAGAAAAUAAAUAAACCGCCACUAGGGUGUAAACUGGGUUCUGGAGGUGACACAAUAGCAAUCUGCAACACCAAAGCCCAGCCCAGACUAAUUUUCGUCCAAACAAAAAAAUGAGUAGAACAAAAAAAAAAUCACAUACAUCAUUAGGAUACGGGUGUAUGGUAGGCUUCCCGGAUCUGGGCCUUUUGAUUUGAUCAAAUGGCUCAGAUUUAAAAAUCCACUAACAGAUCUCGGCCUCACAGCAGAUCUAACGAUCGUGUCUUAAAAUUGGUGAGAACCAAUGAUCCGCUGACACGUCAUCGUCUUGUGGGUUUCACUACUGAGAUGUAUUAGAAGAGUUUUGUGAAAUAAAAUUGAAGUUUGAAUGAUGUUUUGUGUGAUUUCUAAAAAUGGAAAAAAUGGUGAAAAAGAUGAGAUUUUUUGUGGUUCUAGCUCUUCCGAAAAUCCAACCUCUAUUCCUCUCUUCAUUGCUGCUUAUAUAGAGACAAUAGGAACAUUCUAGGCUGAAGGAAUUAGGUUAAAAAGGGUGAAAAAAGAAUUUUCUCAUGAAUGACAUUUUUGGGAAUUUUUGGUGUUAUAGUGGUGAUUUUAUUUGUUCCAAUCAUGAUCCUUGUCCAAUGAUUAGAGGGGAUCACGAAAUUUUGAUGAGUUGGCUUUCUUCUAGAGUAUUCUAGAUGAAAAUGAAGAUAUGCAAUGGAAUUGUUUUGGUAUAUUCCAUUUUUUUUGUGUUUUUGGUACAUUUUUUAGUCACUCGUUCCUAUUUUUUGGGAGUGUCGACUUUGAUCAAAUUGGUAUUUUGGUGAGUGAACCUUAUCUGGGGUAUAAGUGGAAUUUUGAUGGUGAAAUGUGGUUUCUUGAAGGUGAAGUAACAAAAAUGAAUAUAAAAAUAAUAUUUUUAAAUUUUUGAAAUAAUAAUAAAAUAUGAUAAAAAUGGGGUAGGACAAAAUUAGGGUAUCACAGUGGGUUAAAAUGCAUACUCAGAUUAUAGUGUAGAUAGCACACAGUUUAUUUUUUUGUUCCAGAUUUUACUAUUUUACACAUUCGCUACAUAACCUGAGAGGUGGGUCGGAAGAGAGGGUAAAAUUAAUAGCUUAGAGGACUCUUGAGAAGAUCUGGAAAUGAAGUUUUUUCCCUCUUUAUAAAGCUCAGCCCAAAUAUCUUUGUCCAACAAAUUGACACAUGUAAGUACCGGUUCAGAUCAAGUUGCAUGUUUCUGCCGAAAAUAUCACGCUUUAGCAAUUAGAUUCUAUGUAUGUGUAGCUGUGUGUAGGUGCUGGAUUAAUACCAAUUAGAUUAUGAUGCAGCUGGUUAGUGUCGUAAACUUGAAGCUAAUAAAGCAUAAAUGCCAUUCACCACUUUGAUUAUUAAAACAACUCAGAAACAAUUAAUUAUUAUAGAUAAGAGUAGAAUAAUAAUUGUUCGCUGCUCUAAUCACUACAUAUAUGGAUUACUUCUCAUGAUUUAUUCUAUUGGGUAAUGCUAAACGAUGCCCCGGGACACUAGUUAAGCAUACUAAAAAAAGGAAACAAGUGAUAAAGUUAAUAAUGAGAGAGAAUAAGUUUUUACAUCAUGAAAAUUUUGAAUUCACAAUUUACGAAAUAAAAUUUUUAUAUUUAUAUCCUUAACCAUUGCCUCGGGGGCACUGUUUAGCAUUUUCAUAUUCUAUGAGUUAUUCUAUUUUAUAUUCACUAAUAAUAUGGUACAACUUUACUUUUCUCUCUUCCCUUAUCAUGAGAAUUCCGUGUUUCAUAACAUUAUAUGAUAGCAUAUUUGAUAUGCACCUUGUAAAAAAAAAUGUAAAGAUGAAGUAGGAAUUAAGGAUUUGAGGAAGUGAGAGAUUUAAUAUGAACUUCUUAGAACGAAUUGUUCAGGAAAACUUGAAAUCGGUUCUAGAUGACAACAAUUUUUUACUAGGUUUUAUUUAUCGCGACGGAUUAUCAGGCCUUUUUCAUGUGAACCAGAGAAUUAAUAUAAGAAAAAAAAAACUAAUUUGAAAAAACUCACCUAAUUAUGUGGUUGCUUUCAAUGAGACUGAAUUACCUGCUGCUGCUGAGUUCGUAUGCAUAUAGGAGGAUAAUUAGUAGCUUGAUGAUCGAGUCUAGUAUAAACAAUUUAUUGAAGAGAUUAUUCCUUUAAAACUAUAGUUUGGACAAGUGACAAUAGUACACCUCAUGUUAUAAGCCAUAUAUAGCCAGCAGGCAGCAG
RNAcentral lists this long non-coding RNA (4337 nucleotides) under Trifolium pratense (red clover). Its description in RNAcentral is "long non-coding RNA (TPRA_LNC002214)". Lineage: Eukaryota; Viridiplantae; Streptophyta; Magnoliopsida; Fabales; Fabaceae. The record is from RNAcentral.